Mauremys mutica (yellowpond turtle) is the source of this 1443-nucleotide long non-coding RNA. RefSeq lists it as uncharacterized. The record is from RefSeq and is a predicted model, not a curated record. Lineage: Eukaryota; Metazoa; Chordata; Testudines; Geoemydidae. The transcript has 3 exons.
CAGUCCGGCCUGGCCAUCGAGGAGGAAGGAUGCUCAUUGCUAACUCCGGCCCACAGGCAGCUGAAACGCCUGACCGUGAAAGACGGAGACCCAGACUGACGCCCAAGUGCCCUGUGGAUGUCCGAGAGGGAUCAACGUCACCAGGAAACACACACGCCGAAAAGCCCCGAGACCCUGACAACACCUCAACUACAGCUCCAGAAGACUCAGUAAUAACAAUAAUGUACAGUUGUCUCUAGUCUUCACUGGACCUAAACAGGAUAGAAACGGAAAUAAGUGUGUGUAAACCUCUUCAGCAGUGACGGGCAGCGUGCUGGCUCCAGAACUAUCUAGCAGAGAGACCGGGGCGUGCGGAGUGCGAACUGCUGGGUUUGAUUCCUGGUUCUGCUGCUGCGUACGGAGAACAAGCUGCGUACCUCAGUUUCCCCAUCCUUAAAACACCCUGACCACUGGACCCGGGGGGUAUUCUGGACUGUACAAUGAUUCUCGCUUGUUCUCUGACCCAAUUCAUAUUUAUUUAAAGGCAAUGGAAUCGCUACUACGAGAGAGAGAGCGCGAGAGAAACGCCAGCAAAGGGCUCCUCUAGGCCAGGGGCUGGUGCACACCCGAGGGCUGGAGACUGCCUCUUCCCAUCUCGUCUCUGCGCCAGUUAGAGUCCAGAUUCUCAGGGGGGGUAAAUUAGCCUAGACUCCAUGAAGCUUUGCCGAUUUAAAGCCGGUGAAAGCCUGGCCCAAUAUCACUAUUUAAGCCCAUUUUGUUAGCCACGCGGUUGUAUUGAAUUGCCAGGCACAAGCCCGCCCACAUUGAAAGCUCCCCUCCGGCCUAAGGGGAGGAACCACUGGACCCAGGCAUCAAACGGGCAACAAAUGAGAAAAACAGAGAUGGGAGGGACGGUCAGAGGGUGAAAAGCAGGGAUCCGGAGGGGGACACCAAGCAGAAAACCCCUAAAGGCGUCCGGGGGCUGCAGCCUGGCGCACUCCACAGAUGUGCAUCAGGGUCGUCCUUACGCCACAAGUUUUCAGGGAGGCAGCGGUGAACCACACCAGGUACGUGCCCGUGCUCCCGGCUUCAUGCCAAGGGCUAUCCCAGCCGGGCUGCAGGACCAGGGUGGAAUAGAGACUGGCCCACCGGGGCUCCUCACUCUUCACGGUCGGUGGGAGGUGUCGGGUCGGGACACGAGGUGAGGAAGCCAAGGGGGAUGGAGCACCAGGGUGUGCGGCGGUUUGCUAGGCACAUUUCAGAAGUGGAACGGCGGCAGGUCACGCAGCCAGCUGGGUUAUGCAGAGCCAGAAGCUGGUGGGGGGAAUCGGGGAGCAGGGGCCCGAUGGCAUGGUCCAGAGGGCCGGGGGAGCAGGGGCUGGCAGGGAGCCUCCCUCCCCUAGGACCCACUCACGAAAGGCCCGAGAGGUGGGUUAUAAAGCUGACCUCACCUCCAGGGCACAC